AUGGAGGGCUCAACGUUGGCGUCUAAAUCGGCGAUGAACGACAUGCAAGCAAUGAUGAAGGAGUUGGGGUUGAAAGAGGAUGAUCUGGUGGAUAUAGUCAUGGAGGAUGGUGAUAUUCCGGAGGAAGCUGCUCGCUGGAUGGCAAUUGCUCGUGUGCACAUCGACAGGAAAUAUAGUCAGUAUUGGUUUUUCCGCAACAUGAGGAUCGCAUGGGAUCUAGCGCAAGAGGUCAAAUUCUGUCCACUGGUGGAUAACCUAUACACACUGCAAUUCUCUUGCCUCGGCGAUUGGGAGCGUGUAAUGGAAGAUGGGCCAUGGACCUUCAAGGGCAAGGCGAUCGUUAUCGAGCCAUAUGAUGGAAUCACCGAACCAUCAUCGAUUAGUUUGAACAAAAUUGAGAUGUGGAUUCAAAUUCAUGACCUCCCGGAACUGUUUUUCCCCCUGAUCAAAUCCCUUGCUGCAACCGUGGGAGACCUCAUCUACGAUGAACCCAAAUCCCAGGACUUUGAGGGUAAUUUUUUCAGGGUGUGUGUAAAGGUGGAUGUCACAAAGCCUCUCAGGAACGCGGUUUCGCUGGUGAUUAAGAAGAAAAGGGAGAUAUUCAGGGUCAAGUAUGAGAGACUGCCCACCUGGUGCGCUGUCUGCGGUAUGCUAGGUCACAUGUAUAAAGAAUGUGGCAAUGGAAUUCAUCCUCCAUCGGCACUAGUUUUCAAAAACCUUCGUGCAGAUUGGUUUAAGGGUCCAGGCCAUGGCCCCGGGGCCGAGAAUGCACCGGGUGGAGGCAGGGGCAGAGGCAGAGCUGGCCGUGGAGCAGGUCGUGGAGCAAACCAGUGGGGUGCAAGUCAGCGUGAUAGCACGGAGUGGAUGGGACGGGAUAACCCUAGUCUUAAUGAUGACAUAGACAUGGUAGGGGCUGAAGGAAACAGAAAGCGUGGAGCAGCACAAGUCAACAUGGGGGCGCCAGCGGUGCCAGAAUAUGCUACAAAAAACAGCUCGAGUCAAGUGCCUCUUGCCUUACCCCCCGCGGCGGUACCUCAGAGUCUAACUUCCAAGCAGGAACCAAAGAGGACGACAGCCACUGUGCUGAUGUUUGAGCAAGGAAACAUGAAGGCUACAACUAGCAACAACCCUUCUGAUGCACGUUUGGUGGGCUCCCUAGAGGAGUUCAUAUCAGAUUUGGAGAUCAUUGGUAGCAGCAAUAUGCGUGCUGUCCAGGGACCGCUAUCGCAUGUGGUGCCUAAUGCUAGACCCAAAGCCCCUCCAAUGGGCUAUGAAAAAUUUCAUGUUGACGCCGGGGUCAGAUUCGAGCGUGGUGGUUCUGCAGCGGCUAUUUGCAGGGAUGACCAAGGACUUUAUCUUGGAAGCUCUGCACUUGUCAUCUAUGGUGUCUGCGAUCCCACAGUUCUGGAGGCGAUUGCAUGUUGGGAGGCACUACCAUUGGCAGAAGAUCUCAAUUUGCAUCAGUUCAUCAUAGCCUCGGAUUGCAAACAAGUUGUCUCAGACAUUUCUAGGGGGGUCCGGGACGCCAUGUGUGGCUUGGGAAUCCCCAUGACCCUUCUUGUAUCCCACUUCAUGUGA
RNAcentral lists this ribosomal RNA (1578 nucleotides) under Triticum aestivum (bread wheat). Its description in RNAcentral is "partial small subunit ribosomal RNA". The record is from RNAcentral. Lineage: Eukaryota; Viridiplantae; Streptophyta; Magnoliopsida; Poales; Poaceae.